Molecule: long non-coding RNA, 104 nt
Organism: Pipistrellus kuhlii (Kuhl's pipistrelle)
Lineage: Eukaryota; Metazoa; Chordata; Mammalia; Chiroptera; Vespertilionidae
Exons: 3
Source: RefSeq, a predicted model, not a curated record
UUCCCACAUGCACCCUGACUGGGAAUCAAACCCACAGCCUGGGUAUGUGCCCUAACCAGGAACUGAAUCUGCCACUUUUUGGUGCAAAAGAAAACGUUAACCAA